This 195-nucleotide unclassified non-coding RNA is filed under the name Tuber rufum. RNAcentral's name for it is "partial internal transcribed spacer 2". The record is from RNAcentral. Lineage: Eukaryota; Fungi; Ascomycota; Pezizomycetes; Pezizales; Tuberaceae.
CAAACCCACUCAUAAAUAUUAUGGUAAUGGUGGAUGUGAAGGGAGGCUACUAAUAUGUCUCAGUCACCCCAUUGAAAUACAUAGGCAGGACAAUUAUCUUUGGCAAAGGACUUAGUAACUGUUUUGAAGACAUAUAUUAGUUUCUUGCUAGGAUUUGGACUGACUUCUAUGAAUCUCCAUCAAAGACAAAUUCUG